Molecule: RNA transcript, 519 nt
Organism: Nannospalax galili (Upper Galilee mountains blind mole rat)
Lineage: Eukaryota; Metazoa; Chordata; Mammalia; Rodentia; Spalacidae
Gene name: cytochrome c, somatic pseudogene
Exons: 1
Source: RefSeq, a predicted model, not a curated record
GGGGGACGUCUGGCUUCAGCCGGUGGUGAUCGUAGUGUUGCCGAGCGGAGAGCGAAUUAAAAAUGGGUGAUGUUGAGAAAGGCAAGAAGAUUUUUGUUCAGAAGUGUGCCCAGUGUCAUACCGUGGAAAAGGGAGGCAAGCACAAAACUGGACCAAAUCUCCAUGGUCUGUUUGGGAGGAAGACAGGUCAGGCGCCUGGAUUCUCUUACACAGAUGCCAACAAGAACAAAGGCAUCACCUGGGGAGAGGACACACUGAUGGAGUACCUGGAGAAUCCCAAAAAGUACAUCCCUGGAACAAAAAUGAUCUUCACUGGGAUUAAGAAGAAGGGAGAGAGGGCGGACCUAAUAGCUUAUCUUAAAAAGGCACCUAAUGAGUAAUAGCCACUGCCUUAUUUAUUACAAAACAGCUAUCUCAUGGCUUUUAAUGUAACGUUGUUUAAUUCAUACACCAGGAUUCAGAUCAUGAUUGGCUACCUAUUUUUGUUGGACAGUCCUGAUUUAAAUAAGAUUGACUUGU